This is an RNA transcript of Caenorhabditis elegans, 310 nucleotides long. It is a transcript of the gene named Non-coding transcript of protein-coding gene Y51H4A.938c, with no coding region annotated. NCBI's taxonomy places the organism in Eukaryota, Metazoa, Nematoda, Chromadorea, Rhabditida, Rhabditidae. The transcript is spliced from 2 exons. The record is from RefSeq and is marked reviewed.
AUGAUUGCACAAGUAAGUUUAAGCCUGCCUGCCUGCCUGCAAAAUGUUCAGAAAUUUCUCUGGUGAUGAACUGUGGCGGAAAGAAGAAGAAGUCAGCAAAUUCUCCGGUAGGAACAAAUAAAUCAAAGUUAGGGGCUCCAAAGGAGAAGAAGGAUGAAACUGUGAGUUGUGUGGCCGCGACGCGACCGCAACGCGACUGCAACGCAUUGUUUAAUUAAUUUUGCUGAUUUGGGAUACGUACCACAGGUUUCUGCCUUCCCUCCUAUUCUGAAAUGAAGGCAACUACGAGGAGCUCGCCGUGCCACAAUAA